This 442-nucleotide ribosomal RNA is filed under the name uncultured bacterium. Its description in RNAcentral is "partial 16S ribosomal RNA". It matches the Rfam family "Bacterial small subunit ribosomal RNA", at positions 338 to 795 of the family's 1533-position model. The record is from RNAcentral.
CCUACGGGAGACAGCAGUGGGGAAUAUUGCACAAUGGGGGAAACCCUGAUGCAGCAACGCCGCGUGAGUGAGGAAGUAUUUCGGUAUGUAAAGCUCUAUCAGCAGGGAAUAGAAAAGAAGGUACCUGAAAAAGAAGCCCCGGCUAACUACGUGCCAGCAGCCGCGGUAAUACGUAGGGGGCAAGCGUUUAUCCGGAUUUACUGGGUGUAAAGGGAGCGUAGACGGAAAGGCAAGUCAGAAGUGAAAGCCCAAGGCUCAACCAUGGGACUGCUUUUGAAACUGUCAAACUAGAGUACGGGAGAGGUAAGAGGAAUUCCUAGUGUAGCGGUGAAAUGCGUAGAUAUUAGGAGGAACACCAGUGGCGAAGGCGUCUUACUGGACCGAAACUGACGUUGAGGCUCGAAAGCGUGGGGAGCAAACAGGAUUAGAUACCCCAGUAGUC